CACAUCGUUAUUAUGAAGAGCAAAGUUUCAGUAUAUAUAACGGAGACUAAGCGUCUAUGGUCACGACCUUACUUGAACAGGAUCUGUUCUAUAGGCUCGUACCUCUGAUUCCUUUAUUUCUAAGGAGACAGGCCCUUAACCCUGGUUGAUGAACCAUGACCGUGCGAUCAGAGCGUGAUUAACGGCCACGAUCUGUUCUUGGACGCAUCCGGUGCUGUAGAGGAUCGUUACUCGGCUCGGUUCUACCUUGCCGGGGUGGUCGCACGGCGGUCUGACAGGUUUUAUCAUCUACCAUGAAAUAUAAAUUUCAGGUCUUGACAAAAAAGAAGAGCUUAGUGAAGCUGAAGAAAUAUGCAGUAAAGCAGCAGCACAAAUUCAUUAUGGUAGUACCGUAGUAGCAGCAAACAGAGUAACAACGACUAGAAUUCUUGACACAUCGAUAAGCUUAUGGAGAAACGAGUUAUUUAUAUAUGGCCACAAAGCAACAGUGGUCACGACCUUACUUGAACAGGAUCUAUCCUAUAGGACGUACCUCUGUUUCCUUGAUUUCAAAGGAGAUAGGCCCUUAACCCUGGUUGAUGAACCAUGACAGUGCGAUCAGAUAUGUCUUCCGACGCAUCUGGUGCUGUAGAGGAUCGUUACUCGGCUCGGUUCUACCUUGCUGGGGUGGUCGCACGGCGGUCUGACAGGUCCCUUUU
Molecule: long non-coding RNA, 698 nt
Organism: Camelina sativa (false flax)
Lineage: Eukaryota; Viridiplantae; Streptophyta; Magnoliopsida; Brassicales; Brassicaceae
Source: RefSeq, a predicted model, not a curated record